GAGUUUGAUCGUGGCUCAGGAUGAACGCUGGCGGCGUACCUAACGCAUGCAAGUCGAACGGACCUUGGUAGCAAUAUUGAGGUUAGUGGCAAACGGGUGAGUAACACGUAGGGAUCUACCUUGAAGUGGGGAAUAACGGACCGAAAGGUUCGCUAAUACCGCAUGGGGUCGCGAGACCAAAGGUUGUUUCUAACGAAACGAUCGCUUUAAGAGGAGCCUGCGUUCGAUCAGGUAGUUGGUGAGGUAACGGCUCACCAAGCCGAUGACCGAUAGCUGUUCUGAGAGGAAGAUCAGCCACACUGGGACUGUGACACGGCCCAGACUCCUACGGGAGGCAGCAGCGAGGAAUAUUGCACAAUGGAGGAAACUCUGAUGCAGUAACGCCGCGUGGGGGAAGAAGACCUGGUGUAACUACUUUUGUAAAGUACGAGUGAGGACGGUAGUUGUCAGAAUAAGUACUCGG
RNAcentral lists this ribosomal RNA (463 nucleotides) under uncultured bacterium. Its description in RNAcentral is "bacterial SSU rRNA". It matches the Rfam family "Bacterial small subunit ribosomal RNA", at positions 9 to 497 of the family's 1533-position model. The record is from RNAcentral.